GUUCGAGAUCGAGUACCAGAUAAACGCCACACGUCGCAUAGAAUCCUGAGUGCUUCAGUGCAUUUAUUCCCGAUACCAUCUAUUUUUCCUCCAUCAUGAAGACGGCCAUUUUGUGUGGAGGCGAGGAAGGAAUAGGAGGUCGGCUCUCACUCCAGGUCAAGACAGCUGCGUCGCUCUCUGGAGGCUGUCGGUGAUGUCUCGUCUCGGUAGCAGGGAGCCGGAGAUGCUAACGUUGUGAUGGAGCAGCAGCUGAACAUGGCGACAAGAUGGAAUGAAGUAGAAGCCCAAGGUAGAGGAGGAUCAGGCGAUUGUGCAUCCGUGUAUGUUACUUAGCAGAUGGACACUCAAACACAUUGCUGCCACCACUAUCUCCUUGAUCACACCCCAGUGGAGACGAUGGCGAUCGAUUGACUGACGACUCUUGCGGUUUGCUGUUUCGAGGUUUCCUGGUUCGCAGCCCAGCACGUGCAGACGACGACCACCACCAUUCUCUUGCUUGCUUGCUUCUUCUCUCUGUGGCUGUUGUCCAAGGUUUCCUGGUUCGCAGUGCAUCCUCUUCCUUCUCUAGAUCCAGAGGCAGACUCUGAGGUUAGAGGAGCUGGGUGCUGUGGUCGAGAAUGAGGCACCAAUUCCAUCUCUGCAUUCUUGGGUGUUUGGAUGUGUUCCCCUUAAGGGAGUAACUCCACGCCUGAUUUGUGGUCCUAACGCCGAUGUCCAUUUUCAUCAAUCUUCCUUUCCCUUCUUCCCUUUGGUCUUUCAUUUCCGCCGCUGGUUGUCCCCGCCGGUAGCGGUCGUUCACCACAAUGUCCGUUUCAGCUCUUCUACCACGUUAUUAAUUUCCGUAGAGCUUCACUUUCUAGCCACUCAUCAUUAGUCUUCCUCCUGGAAAGGCAAGAACAUUGUACUUUUCGACAGAAGGAACGGUUGGUUUAUUUAGUCGAGAUUUCUUAGACUAAGGAUUAAAAACUUUUGUUUAUUA
This is a long non-coding RNA of Scylla paramamosain (green mud crab), 979 nucleotides long. RefSeq lists it as uncharacterized. The record is from RefSeq and is a predicted model, not a curated record. The transcript has 4 exons. NCBI's taxonomy places the organism in Eukaryota, Metazoa, Arthropoda, Malacostraca, Decapoda, Portunidae.